Molecule: long non-coding RNA, 1269 nt
Organism: Triticum urartu
Lineage: Eukaryota; Viridiplantae; Streptophyta; Magnoliopsida; Poales; Poaceae
Source: RefSeq, a predicted model, not a curated record
GGUCUAGUUCCUCUCCUCUAUGGUGGUGGCUAGUCCUAUUUAUAGAGGCCCUAGUCCUCUUCCCAAAUAUUAGGCGGGAAGGGACCCCACAACGGCCAGUUUGAAGGGGGACAACUAGUACAAGUUAUCUCUACUACUAUAAAAUUCUCAGUUGGUGGUGAUGGUGUGCCUGCCAUCCAUCAGUUUAGACCAUCAGAUCUUCAUCCAACGUACAGGAGGCAACCCACUUCAGCCGGGUGAUUCUCUCCUCCCCCUGCUACAGUAUAAAGGUGAAAAGGAAGCAACCGGGAGGCGACUUCAGUUCUUCCACCGACGAUCUCGUCGCUCCUCUUCGCCUCCGAUGACCAUCUGACCUCGUGAGGCGUGGGGGAGCUCUAGCACUCCGCCUGCGUGUAGAUACGGGUUGGUUGGGCGGCGCUCGGAUGGUGGCGGCGCGUCGCGUCCAAUAAAGCGGUCCUGGCUCCUACCCCAUCUCGCCGGCGAUGGCGAGGAGCCUAUGGGCCUGUGUGGUCUGGCGGUUCUGCUGAGGCGGCAGUUACACCAUCGACUCUGGUAUUUUUUCCUCCAGCCCUGUCCCCGCCUUGGUGGUUCACGCACUAGAGCUCCCGACGGGGUGUGUGAGUAGUUGUAGAGGUGUUGUGGCGGUGAUGGCCGCCUAAGAUUUGGUUUGCGGCGACUUAUAGAGGCGGCUGUUCUGGAGACCAGUUUGUAGCUAGCUGGACAGAGGAUCUGGUGGCCCUUCUCGCCGGAGGAGAUCCAGAGGCGGUGGAGCGCAGGAUUAUUGCCAGGCGCUUCUCCUGCUCACAAAUGGAUUCGUCCACGGUCAUCUCAGUGGCGGCGGCCAGAGGCGUGCGGGCUCUCUUUGGGGCCUCCAGGGAUGUGGUUCUAUUCUUCUUUGUUUGGAGGUCUUUUAUUCAAGUUUUCAGCUGGUUCUGGUGUCUUCGCGUGACGGCAUGAGUGUGUAAAUGUUUAUUUUUUACUUUUGAGGGAAAAAUGUCAGCGCACGCCAUGAGCAAGCCAACAAUAACAAAUAUUGGGAGGAGUCCGGCUGCUGGAUGCGCCAUGUGUGUGCUGUUGUAAACUUGUAAUGCGUUGAGAGGAUUCACCAUUGUCUUGCGUGGAGCAGGUUCUAGAGCUAAGGCGAAAGACACAACUUUUGGGACAGUGUCGUGUGCCUGGACUGCAUGUAUUGUAGGUUGUGUUAUAUGCUUUAAGGUACUUGUGUUUUUUUUCAAAUCAUGAAAGUGGUUUAGAAUGUUGCAACAUCAA